CAUGAUGCCUCGCUCUCAAGAUGACCAAAUGGAUCUCAGAGCGGACCAGCCGUUGUGACAGCUGAGUUUCAAGUUUGCUGAGGGAGACUCCAGCGCCGGCUACGACCUUGAACAGACACGGAAGAACCAAACAUCCCCACCUCCCCCCGGCCUCACUGUUGCUCUCUCCCUCACUCUUUAUGACAGGACACGCUCAGGACAGGAGCCGGCCAGUAAAACAGCACUAGCAGCAGAAAUGAUUUAAUUUGAUGGGGAUAUACUAAAGAAGACGGUACCUCUUCUCCACAGAUCAUCACAUGCUAAGAUACCUGCUGCAGCAGCACGCCGUAUUCAUCGCAGGCGGUCAGAGCCCGAUGCCCUGGAAGCCUGUGUUUUCUCCCUGAGCCACCAGGGGGCCUCAGUCCCACAGUGGGACACCCAGCUCUGAGUUUUGCCUUCACACUGAACCCUCCAGCCCCAGUC
Seriola aureovittata is the source of this 462-nucleotide long non-coding RNA. RefSeq lists it as uncharacterized. The record is from RefSeq and is a predicted model, not a curated record. The transcript is spliced from 3 exons. NCBI's taxonomy places the organism in Eukaryota, Metazoa, Chordata, Actinopteri, Carangiformes, Carangidae.